RNAcentral lists this ribosomal RNA (477 nucleotides) under uncultured bacterium. Its description in RNAcentral is "SSU rRNA". It matches the Rfam family "Bacterial small subunit ribosomal RNA", at positions 26 to 518 of the family's 1533-position model. The record is from RNAcentral.
AGGACGAACGCUGGCGGCGUGCCUAACACAUGCAAGUGGAGCGACGAACCGGGCUUCGGCCCGGGGCAAAGCCGCGAACGGGUGAGUAACACGUGGGUAACGUGCCCCGAUGAUUGGGACAACCCGAGGAAACUCGGGCUAAUACCAAAUGUGCCCUCCAGCCAUAAGGCUGUCGGGGAAAGGAAGCUUCGGCCUCCGCAUCGGGAUCGGCCCGCGGCCCAUUAGCUUGUUGGUGAGGUAACGGCUCACCAAGGCGACGAUGGGUAGCUGGUCUGAGAGGACGAUCAGCCACACUGGGACUGAGACACGGCCCAGACUCCUACGGGAGGCAGCAGUGGGGAAUUUUGCGCAAUGGGGGAAACCCUGACGCAGCAACGCCGCGUGGAGGAUGAAGUCCCUUGGGACGUAAACUCCUUUCGAUCGGGACAUAAUGACGGUACCGAGAGAGAAGCCCGGCUAACUCGUGCCAGCAGCCGC